RNAcentral lists this ribosomal RNA (253 nucleotides) under uncultured bacterium. RNAcentral's name for it is "partial 16S ribosomal RNA". It matches the Rfam family "Bacterial small subunit ribosomal RNA", at positions 524 to 776 of the family's 1533-position model. The record is from RNAcentral.
UACGUAGGCAGCAAGCGUUGUUCGGAGUUACUGGGCGUAAAGGGUGCGUAGGCGGUGGGGUAAGUUGGAUGUGAAAUCUUGGGGCUUAACCUCAAAAUUGCAUUCAAUACUGCUCCGCUCGAGUUCUGUAGAGGAGACUGGAAUUUACGGUGUAGCAGUGAAAUGCGUAGAUAUCGUAAGGAACGCCAGUGGCGAAAGCGAAUCUCUGGGCAGCAACUGACGCUGAGGCACGAAGGCCAGGGGAGCAAACGGG